This 1535-nucleotide ribosomal RNA is filed under the name Blautia liquoris. Its description in RNAcentral is "Bacterial small subunit ribosomal RNA". It matches the Rfam family "Bacterial small subunit ribosomal RNA". Lineage: Bacteria; Bacillati; Bacillota; Clostridia; Lachnospirales; Lachnospiraceae. The record is from Rfam by way of RNAcentral.
UGAUCAGAGAGUUUGAUCCUGGCUCAGGAUGAACGCUGGCGGCGUGCUUAACACAUGCAAGUCGAGCGAGAAAUUCUUUCCAAAGUCUUCGGACAGAGGAAGGAAUAGACAGCGGCGGACGGGUGAGUAACGCGUGGGGAACCUGCCUCGUACCGGGGGAUAACAGUUGGAAACAGCUGCUAAUACCGCAUAAGCGCACAGCAUCGCAUGAUGCCGUGUGAAAAACUCCGGUGGUAUGAGAUGGACCCGCGUUGGAUUAGCUAGUUGGCAGGGCAAAGGCCUACCAAGGCAACGAUCCAUAGCCGGCCUGAGAGGGCGACCGGCCACAUUGGGACUGAGACACGGCCCAGACUCCUACGGGAGGCAGCAGUGGGGAAUCUUGCACAAUGGGCGAAAGCCUGAUGCAGCGACGCCGCGUGAGUGAAGAAGUAUUUCGGUAUGUAAAGCUCUAUCAGCAGGGAAGAAAAUGACGGUACCUGACUAAGAAGCCCCGGCUAACUACGUGCCAGCAGCCGCGGUAAUACGUAGGGGGCAAGCGUUAUCCGGAUUUACUGGGUGUAAAGGGAGCGUAGACGGACCGGCAAGUCUGAAGUGAAAUUCCAGGGCUCAACCCUGGGACUGCUUUGGAAACUGCAGAUCUUGAGUACCGGAGGGGUAAGCGGAAUUCCUAGUGUAGCGGUGAAAUGCGUAGAUAUUAGGAAGAACACCAGUGGCGAAGGCGGCUUACUGGACGGUAACUGACGUUGAGGCUCGAAAGCGUGGGUAGCAAACAGGAUUAGAUACCCUGGUAGUCCACGCCGUAAACGAUGAAUGCUAGGUGUCGGGAAGCACAGCUUUUCGGUGCCGCCGCAAACGCAUUAAGCAUUCCACCUGGGGAGUACGUUCGCAAGAAUAAAACUCAAAGGAAUUGACGGGGACCCGCACAAGCGGUGGAGCAUGUGGUUUAAUUCGAAGCAACGCGAAGAACCUUACCAAAUCUUGACAUCCCUCUGACCGGUACGUAAUGGUACCUUUCCUUCGGGACAGAGGAGACAGGUGGUGCAUGGUUGUCGUCAGCUCGUGUCGUGAGAUGUUGGGUUAAGUCCCGCAACGAGCGCAACCCUUAUUGUCAGUAGCCAGCAGGUAGAGCUGGGCACUCUGAUGAGACUGCCAGGGAUAACCUGGAGGAAGGCGGGGAUGACGUCAAAUCAUCAUGCCCCUUAUGAUUUGGGCUACACACGUGCUACAAUGGCGGAAACAGAGGGAAGCGAACGGGAGACCGGAAGCGAACCCCAAAAAUAACGUCUCAGUUCGGAUUGUAGUCUGCAACUCGACUACAUGAAGCUGGAAUCGCUAGUAAUCGCGGAUCAGAAUGCCGCGGUGAAUACGUUCCCGGGUCUUGUACACACCGCCCGUCACACCAUGGGAGCCGGAAAUGCCCGAAGCCUGUGACCGAACCUCUACGGAGGACGGAGCAGUCGAAGGUGGAGCUGGUAACUGGGGUGAAGUCGUAACAAGGUAGCCGUAUCGGAAGGUGCGGCUGGAUCACCUCCUUU